This 253-nucleotide ribosomal RNA is filed under the name uncultured Sphingomonadaceae bacterium. Its description in RNAcentral is "partial 16S ribosomal RNA". It matches the Rfam family "Bacterial small subunit ribosomal RNA", at positions 524 to 776 of the family's 1533-position model. The record is from RNAcentral. Lineage: Bacteria; Pseudomonadati; Pseudomonadota; Alphaproteobacteria; Sphingomonadales; Sphingomonadaceae.
UACGUAGGGUGCGAGCGUUAAUCGGAAUUACUGGGCGUAAAGCGCACGUAGGCGGCUUUGUAAGUUAGAGGUGAAAGCCUGGAGCUCAACUCCAGAACUGCCUUUAAGACUGCAUCGCUUGAAUCCAGGAGAGGUGAGUGGAAUUCCAUGUGUAGCGGUGAAAUGCGCAGAGAUAUGGAGGAACACCAGUGGCGAAGGCGGCUCACUGGACUGGUAUUGACGCUGAGGUGCGAAAGCGUGGGGAGCAAACAGG